This is a small nuclear RNA of Lolium rigidum, 117 nucleotides long. RefSeq annotates it as U5 spliceosomal RNA. The record is from RefSeq and is a predicted model, not a curated record. The transcript has a single exon. Lineage: Eukaryota; Viridiplantae; Streptophyta; Magnoliopsida; Poales; Poaceae.
AGCUGCUUGGUGAGCACAACAGAACUAUUCUUUUGCCUUUUACUAAAGAAUAACGUGUGCACACCACACUAAGCAGCAUACAUUUAUUUUUUUAAAGGUUUCUUCUCUAGAGGAGAG